Molecule: ribosomal RNA, 638 nt
Filed under: Phlebia tremellosa
Lineage: Eukaryota; Fungi; Basidiomycota; Agaricomycetes; Polyporales; Meruliaceae
Description: eukaryotic LSU rRNA
Rfam family: 5.8S ribosomal RNA (bases 212-365)
Source: RNAcentral
UCGCUGGUCCCGUUCUUAACAGAGUCGGGACAUGUGCACACCUGGCUUCAUUCCACUCUUCAACCCCUGUGCACUUGUUGUAGGUUUCAGGUCGGACGCGGGGCUUUCGACUUCAUCGUCGAGAGCCUCAAGGAAAGCCUGAGCCUAUGUUUUACCAUACACACGCUUCAGUUAUAGAAUGUAAACAUCGCGUAUAACGCAUUUUAAAUACAACUUUCAGCAACGGAUCUCUUGGCUCUCGCAUCGAUGAAGAACGCAGCGAAAUGCGAUAAGUAAUGUGAAUUGCAGAAUUCAGUGAAUCAUCGAAUCUUUGAACGCACCUUGCGCUCCUUGGUAUUCCGAGGAGCAUGCCUGUUUGAGUGUCAUGGAAUUCUCAACCUUUGAAAGCUUUUAUCGGUUCUCAAAGGCUUGGACUUGGAGGUCGUGUCGGCUCUGCAAAGAAUAUCGACUCCUCUGAAACGUAUCAGUGCGAACCUUUACGGAUCGUCUUCGGUGUGAUAAACGUCUACGCCGUGGUCGUGAAGUAUGAUCGUGUCCGUGCUUCUAACCGUCUCCUUUGCGAGACAAAAACUGUGUUACUUACUAUAAGUAACAUAGGCAUUGACAAUCUGACCUCAAAUCAGGUAGGACUACCCGCU